GUAUUUAUGAGCCGCCAUUUCUUGUACUAUAGUGAACCUACCUUGGAUGUGAAGAUUGCCUUUUGUCAGGGAUUUGAUAAACAAGUGGAUGUGUCAUAUAUCUCCAAGCAUUACAACAUGAGCAAAAGCAAAGUUGACAACCAGUUCUACAGUGUGGAAGUGGGAGAUUCGACUUUCACAGUUCUUAAGCGCUACCAGAACCUAAAGCCUAUUGGCUCUGGGGCACAGGGCAUAGUUUGCGCUGCCUAUGACGCUGUCCUUGACCGAAAUGUGGCCAUUAAGAAGCUCAGCCGACCGUUCCAGAAUCAAACCCACGCCAAGAGGGCUUACCGGGAGCUGGUCCUCAUGAAAUGCGUCAAUCAUAAAAACAUUAUCAGUUUAUUAAAUGUCUUCACACCCCAGAAGUCACUUGAGGAGUUCCAAGAUGUGUAUCUGGUAAUGGAGUUGAUGGACGCCAACUUGUGUCAAGUCAUUCAGAUGGAACUGGACCAUGAGAGAAUGUCUUACCUUCUCUACCAAAUGCUAUGUGGUAUCAAGCACCUUCACUCUGCCGGGAUCAUUCACAGGGAUUUAAAGCCCAGCAACAUCGUGGUCAAGUCAGACUGCACGCUGAAGAUUCUGGACUUCGGACUGGCCAGAACUGCAGGCACGAGCUUCAUGAUGACUCCUUACGUGGUGACCCGCUAUUACAGAGCACCGGAGGUCAUCUUGGGAAUGGGCUACAAGGAAAACGUGGAUAUAUGGUCUGUGGGAUGCAUUAUGGGAGAAAUGGUUCGUCACAAAAUCCUCUUUCCAGGAAGGGACUAUAUCGACCAGUGGAACAAAGUCAUUGAACAACUAGGAACACCUUGCCCAGAGUUUAUGAAGAAAUUGCAACCCACAGUGAGAAAUUAUGUUGAGAACAGGCCUAAGUAUGCAGGUCUGACUUUCCCCAAGCUCUUUCCAGACUCUCUCUUCCCAGCUGAUUCAGAGCACAAUAAACUCAAAGCCAGCCAAGCGCGGGAUCUUCUGUCCAAGAUGCUGGUGAUUGACCCAGCCAAAAGGAUAUCGGUGGAUGAAGCUCUGCAACACCCGUACAUCAAUGUCUGGUACGACCCUGCGGAAGUGGAAGCGCCUCCUCCACAGAUAUACGAUAAACAGCUGGAUGAAAGAGAACACACCAUCGAGGAGUGGAAAGAACUUAUCUACAAGGAAGUAAUGAAUUCUGAAGAAAAGACUAAAAAUGGCGUAGUUAAAGGACAGCCUUCUCCUUCAGGUGCAGCAGUGAACAGCAGCGAGAGCCUCCCCCCAUCCUCGUCCGUCAACGACAUCUCCUCCAUGUCCACUGACCAAACCUUGGCGUCCGACACCGACAGCAGCUUGGAAGCGUCCGCGGGCCCCCUGGGGUGUUGCAGGUGACUGGCCGCCUGCCUGCGGAACCCGACCUUCUUCAGCCGGUGACGCCGCUGAUGCCAAUCACGCUAUUUCGGGAGGGAGGGACGGGAGGGGGGGAUAUUUAAAAAAGUUGGGGGAAAAGAAAAAGGAUAUCCAGAAAGGAAGCGAAACACCAUCUAAAAGUGAAAUCAACCUUUCCUCCCGCUUCUCCUCCAGAGUUAUGUAUCGCAGCUAAGCUCAAGCGUAUAUUUAACUUUGAGUUGUUCUGCUUUGGCCUUCCUCUAUUGAUGGUUCCUGCAGAAAACAAAACACAAAAGAGCCCCCCAACCCCGUUUGUUUGUUUUUCUUCACCGAGUGUAAAUUUAAAGGCCGCAAACCCAACAGCUUGCGGCGGCCACUCAUUGGCAUGACAGGGUAUGCAAAAACCCUUGAAGCGUGUGUGUAUGUGUCUCUAUCUUCAGCCAACUGCUCCUUCCGGCCCGGUCAGGUGAAUGUAGAUCCAGACCCGCAUGUGUCUGUAUAUGAGCACAGCACAUUUACUUGUAGAGAAUCCAGUACCCUCGGUAGUAGGCACUGUAGUUUAACUGACCCAUUUUAUGUCAACUACUACUAUAUCAUAAAUCCAUCUGUAAUAUAUUGCCAGUAUACAAGCUGUUUAGUUUGUUAAUCGAUUAAGUUGUAUGUCUUAUAAGAAAAUUUGUAAAAGGAAAAAAAAGUUGUGAGUAAGCUCUCUCGGACCCUUGAAGCUGUAGUCCCCACCCCCUCCAUUUCAGCGAUUAAAAGCCUGUACUGAGCCCGGUCUGCGGAGAAGAUGUGUGUGGUGACCUCGGAUGGGGAAGCCAUGUUCCUCAGUUGCCGUGGAUUGUGGGAGAGGGGAUGUAGGAGACUGGUGUGGGGCAGGCCGGCGGGAAACCAGUUCUUGUCUUAGCCAAGGUCCUUGGCCUGUGGAGCCACCGCCAUGCCUUCUGGAAUGCAGGAUGGAGAGUGGCCGGUGGUGCCGGCAGAGGUGAGUGUGGCCGGAGUCACCGGAAGGGUCUCCUCUCAGCUGGGGCCAAGGAGUUCAUCUACCUGUUCUUACCCAGGGGCUCCGCGACCAAGAAUCCAAUUCCCUUCUGGCCAUUUCCUCAGAAAUGCACCGAUACCCAUCCUUCCCCAAGACUGCUCUCCUCCCCUCACUUCAUUCCCCCCACCGUCCACUUCUCAGAGAGUCCUGAGAAGUAGUAAGGUCUGGGAGCAGGAUUUGGGUUUCAAGUCCAAAAGAGCUGGGCUUCACCCUGCAGGACUGAAAGCCGUACCAAAGGAAACAAACGGCAGGCGUCCAUCCCGUGGGUCUUGACAUUUCGGAUCUGAGAAUGCCCAAGGAGGCGUUGUUUUUCCUGGAUGCCCUCACUGUCUCCCAUUUUGGCUAAACUCCUUUUGCGUACAUUUGACAGGUCCGAGAAAGGCGUGGCCGAUUUUCUAGAAGUCUGGGCCCAGCAGGAAACGGCGACCACAGCCGAUGAGGUACCGGUGAAGUAGGUUUAGCAAUAUUAGCUCUUCCUAAAAGCCAUGGAGGAUCACUGCCAAUGUUAAGCGAUAUCACUUUAAACAACCUAAAUGGAAUGUAAGUGCUUGGGAAAGUCUUUUCACAGACCCCGUGAGGAAGUGUCACUUAGGGGUUUUCACCGCAAUAAUAGGGAGGGAGGGUGACUUAGCAAUAAUAGCCUAUCCCAACCUUAGACUCCCCCAUCCCAUACUAGUGCCCGAUGCCCCACUGUUCAAACGUACUUUAACCGUUUUUUGCGUGCUUAGCUGUACGCGAUGCUAUUUUAACUUGGAAAAAAGAAGCCUCUUGCAGUGAGGGAUGACCAGACGAGUGAGACAGCCAAGAGAGAUUGUUCGGGGAGAAGAGAAAAACAAAAGCAUCCACCUGACUCUCCACCCUCUAGAAAUGAUGAUAGCUCUGCCUCUUUGUUUUUUAGCACUUGCAGGGCUCGAGAGCAUUCUUCUGUCUGAUCUUUCGGGGCAGGAGACACCUCCAGAGUGAGAUGUGGCAACUUGGGGUUUGGUGAGGUGGCUACUUGGCUCCAUUGUCUUGUUAGGGCCAGCAGAUAAGUACUAAUCUAGAUGGGAGGGAGGAAUAGGAUGGACCCUUCCUGACCAAAGCUCCACAUCUGGUCUUGAUGUCUUUUGUCAUCAGAAAAGACUCUCCCUACUCCUGUUCUUGCUCUCUUGCUUCCUCCCUCUCUCUCUCUCCCUCUCUCUUCUUCCUCUCUUCCUCUUUCCUUCUCUUUCUCUCAUUCUCUCUCAUCUCCCUUGCUUUCCUUUCCUAGGGUCCCCUAUGCUACCCUUAAUCGCACUUAGCCCAUCAUCCCUUUGGCUUUCCCAUUUCACAUCUUUCCCAGCGCCAAUCCAGAGCUCAGCAAACAGCCUUUAGAGUGGAGGUUGCUGAAGGAAGGCAAUGGAUGUUUCCUUCCCUUCAAGUGCUGUCACCUCUUUCUCCUCCUGCUUUGACAAACUGGUCUCUCCAGGUAACCUUUAUCAGGGAAAAACAACUAGCCAACUCAUCCUAGAAGCAACCCUGGUGAAGCUACUCUUCUGGAGGGGAACGGAUGGGCCCCUGAAGGAAAACUUUAAUUUUUGAUCUGGACUCAUCUGUCACCUCCAAGAGUGAAUUAUUCCACCUCCUGGCAUUCCCAGCAUUUCCAGUGGCAUCACAUCAUCUGCUGAGGACGUGCACCAGGAGAAGCUCUCCAUCGACUGUUUGCCUCGCCUCGACCAUCUAUCCCGUCACGAGACCCACCUGGAGUUUCUCCCAAUUGGACUCGGGCCAAUAUUCCCGGCCCCACAGACUGCCAAGUAUCCGUGUUGAUCGAGUAGUUUCGAAAGACAAAACCGAACGUGGCCAUCUCACGGAACCGCCCCGCGGAUCUCCCAGCAGGCCGGAAUGGGAGACAUAGGAGGUGGGGGCACCGCCACCACUCUCCGAGCCGCGGGGCCCGGGCUCGGCCUUUCCGGGUUCGUGCGGGGAGAAGGAGGGACUUGGGUUUCUGCCAUCUGCUCUUUGUAGGUCGAUGUUGAGUCGAUGCAUUGUGAUUUGUUUGUUUUGGGUUAUUAAACGGUGGGGGGAUGUGCUUCCCCUCGACCUGAACCGAGAUCAAACCUGAA
RNA transcript from Ornithorhynchus anatinus (platypus), 4521 nucleotides. It is a transcript of the gene named mitogen-activated protein kinase 10, with no coding region annotated. Lineage: Eukaryota; Metazoa; Chordata; Mammalia; Monotremata; Ornithorhynchidae. The record is from RefSeq and is a predicted model, not a curated record. The transcript is spliced from 14 exons.